GCAGCCUUUUAGGUGUUUGGAAUCACCUGGGAUUUGGAGAAGCAAAGAUAAAGAAGACUGUGGGCUUACCCUGAAGAAUUUACAGCUGUAAAGGGAAGAUCGAUAAAGUAACAGCUGGCUUCUUGCUGUUAUACCUGAGGAAGAUGGCUGAUUUGGGAUGAUCAAGAUCAAGCUAGAAGGUAUCCCCUUUCAGUUUCCUGAUUUGGAAGAAGAGAAAAUUCCCAGAAGACACAGAGAGAGAGAGGCAGAGACACAGGCAGAGGGAGAAGCAGGCUCCAUGCAGG
Molecule: long non-coding RNA, 284 nt
Organism: Canis lupus familiaris (dog)
Lineage: Eukaryota; Metazoa; Chordata; Mammalia; Carnivora; Canidae
Exons: 3
Source: RefSeq, a predicted model, not a curated record